Long non-coding RNA from Pogona vitticeps (central bearded dragon), 784 nucleotides. The record is from Ensembl. NCBI's taxonomy places the organism in Eukaryota, Metazoa, Chordata, Lepidosauria, Squamata, Agamidae.
UUUAGGGAUUGUUUUGUUCUACAGGAGAAGGACACUGAAAAUUUGCAUUUGAGAAUCUUCAUGCUCUCUGAGAAGAGCUCAGCUUUGACAGCAUCCAAGAAGAUCAAUCAGCGAAGUUACCUGCAGCUCUGUUGUCAUGUCAGUAAACUACAGAGAGAGCUCCAAGAAUGCAACCUGACUUGUGCUGAGGAAGAUGAAGUUUUUACAAAGAUGAAACACCAAAUCAGGGAGCUUGAAGAGUAUAUGCAAGAAUAUCAAGUAAAAAUAGAGGUUCUCCAGGACAGAGAGAAAGCUCUGCAGGAUGAACUGUCAGCUGUUAUGAAAAAAAGGGCCGGACAGCAGACCAAGUUUCCAGGCAAGUUUUUGAACCUCCACCCCAAGAGCUUGAUGUAUGAAAUAGCCAGGGCUGAACUGGAAUUGAAAAUGCAAAGGGAAGGAAAAUCUGUGAAGAAGCAGGUUUGUGGUGGGUGAAGAUAGCCUGGAUCUUCAUCAUCUUGUGGCACUUUGCAGGCAUCCUGCUGGUGAUUCUCCUACUGGUGAUUCUAGUUGCCUUCUACAUUAUUGGCAUCUGCCUCUCAAAUCACACCAUGACAGAGGCAUACCAGCGGCCCAUGUGGCAGUUCCUGGACUAUUAUUUCCAACCAUAUAUCCAACUAUAUAGUAAUGGCAUCUUACCAAAGUGAUCCCAGGGACUGAAAGAAGCUGCCCACUAGAAAAACCUUGUCAAUAUAGUCUAUCUAAGAGUGUGAAUAAAGCUGAUAUCCUAUCAUGGUUUUCUGGUGCU